ACUCAAAUGAAUUGACGGGAACCCACACAAGCGGUGGAGCAUGUGGUUUAAUGCGAUAACGCGCGCAAAACCUUACCAGCUCUUGAAUAUUUAGAUGAAUUUCUUUAAUCUGUAAAUUCAAUUAAUCUAAUUACAGGCGUUGCAUGGCUGUCGUCAGCUCGUGUUGUGAGAUGUCAGGUUUAUUCCUGAAACGAGCGUAACCCUCGUAUUUAGUUGCCAAUAGAAUAAUAAAUCUUGUAUUUAAUCUAUUCUAGGAACUCUAAAUAGACUGCCUGUGAAAGAAAUAGGAGGAAGGUGAGGAUGACGUCAAGCCCUCAUGACCCUUAUGGGCUGGGCUACACACUUGCUACAAUGGUAAUUACAAAGGGAAGCAAUAUUGUAAAAUGGAGCAAAUCCUUAAAAAUUAUCUCAGUUCAGAUUAUUCUCUGCAAUUCGAGAAUAUGAAGUAGGAAUCGCUAGUAAUCGUGAAUCAGCAUGUCACGGUGAAUAUGUACCUGGGUUUUGCACACACCGCCCGU
RNAcentral lists this ribosomal RNA (518 nucleotides) under uncultured bacterium. RNAcentral describes it as "partial 16S ribosomal RNA". It matches the Rfam family "Bacterial small subunit ribosomal RNA", at positions 899 to 1397 of the family's 1533-position model. The record is from RNAcentral.